Molecule: long non-coding RNA, 749 nt
Organism: Triticum dicoccoides
Lineage: Eukaryota; Viridiplantae; Streptophyta; Magnoliopsida; Poales; Poaceae
Exons: 3
Source: RefSeq, a predicted model, not a curated record
UCACUUACUUCGAUGCAUGGACCAUCAGACGUACCAAAGGUGACAAGGACAAGGACCCUCUCCACCCGGAGAGGGACUGGAUCAGCUAUAAAGCCCGGUCAGAUGGAGAGAACUACACCGAAAAAUUGAAGGAGACGUACGGGCCUGACGCUGAUCCUCAUGUGCUACCGUUUGACCCUCUUGUGGCCAUUGUCGCGGCAUGCGGUAGACCGAAUGGCCGGAUGGCGGUUCACCUUGAUUCUAUCAUAACCUUCUCCCUUCCGAGAGUCAACACGCUCCGUGCUAUGAGUAUUGGCUCUACUCCUACCGUAGAGCGUCACAUACCACAUUUCAUGAGCAUUAUUGAGGAUAUUCAGACUUGACUGAUUGACACCGAGAAAGAACGAGAUGAAAACUGGGCCAAGCUGAAGGCACAAAAUGAUCUAAUGAAGUCUUUACAACAUGUGGUGGCCAAUCUUUAUUCCAUGCAAGGCCAACUAGUGCCAGAGAUACCACCGAUGCUAGAGUGGAACAUUCUCAACCCAUCACAAGGGUCGAACAAUGUUCCGGUAGUUCCACCUCAAGUUGGUGGAGUUGGGGCAACAAACGGAAUGAUGCCUUCUAAUGUUGAUGGUAUCACUCCGGUUGGUGGAGUUGGGACAGCAAACGGAAUGAUGCCUUCUAAUGUUCACGUUAUCACUCCGAUCUCCAAAAUCGCGUGAACUUCAUGUUAUGUUAUGUUUGAAAAUGUUCCUUGUAUGUUCAGAAGU